CUUUGCUCAGUGACUGGAUGACACAGUAGGAGUAACAAGAAAGUUCACAUGGGUGAACCGUGGUAGGUGGACAUCGUCUCUCUCACCUCUUCCCAAAUCAAGGAUGAAGUACAUCUUCAUAAAUCCUCAUGUGAAUUAUUUUGCUACCUCUAGAAGCAUUUUCUAAAACAAGGUGCAGCAAUCAGUUGAGUGAAUUUGUCACCAGAGCUUAUGUUUUCUGAAAGAACCCUAUCCUCAGGCAGUUGUUCCUAAGAGCCUUUUCCUUUCCCUUGAAGAUUCCACAAAUAUGUCAGCGCUGGAAAUGAUC
Molecule: long non-coding RNA, 307 nt
Filed under: Homo sapiens (human)
Lineage: Eukaryota; Metazoa; Chordata; Mammalia; Primates; Hominidae
Description: non-protein coding lnc-PIWIL4-1:4
Source: RNAcentral